RNAcentral lists this ribosomal RNA (688 nucleotides) under Methanosalsum zhilinae. RNAcentral's name for it is "bacterial SSU rRNA". It matches the Rfam family "Archaeal small subunit ribosomal RNA", at positions 5 to 692 of the family's 1478-position model. Lineage: Archaea; Methanobacteriati; Methanobacteriota; Methanomicrobia; Methanosarcinales; Methanosarcinaceae. The record is from RNAcentral.
CGGUUGAUCCUGCCAGAGGUCACUGCUAUCGGUGUUCGACUAAGCCAUGCAAGUUAUAUGUUCUUCGUGAACAUGGCGAACUGCUCAGUAACACGUGGAUAACCUGCCCUUGGGACCGGCAUAACCCCGGGAAACUGGGGAUAAUUCCGGAUAUGCCAUGAUAGCUGGAAUGCUUCGUGGUUCAAAAGGAUUCGUCUGCCCAAGGAUGGGUCUGCGGCCUAUCAGGUAGUAGCGGGUGCAAGGUACCUGCUAGCCGACGACGGGUACGGGUUGUGAGAGCAAGAGCCCGGAGAUGGAUUCUGAGACAUGAAUCCAGGCCCUACGGGGCGCAGCAGGCGCGAAAACUUUACAAUGCGGGAAACCGCGAUAAGGGGACACCGAGUGCCAGCAUACAAUGCUGGCUGUCCGCAUGUGUAAACGGCAUGCGUUAGCAAGGGCCGGGCAAGACCGGUGCCAGCCGCCGCGGUAACACCGGCGGCCCGAGUGGUGAUCACUAUUAUUGGGUCUAAAGGGUCCGUAGCCGGUUUGAUCAGUCCUCUGGGAAAUCUGACAGCUCAACUGUUAGGCUUCCAGGGGAUACUGUCAGACUUGGGACCGGGAGAGGUAAGAGGUACCACAGGGGUAGGAGUGAAAUCUUGUAAUCCCUGUGGGACCACCAGUGGCGAAGGCGUCUUACCAGAACGGGUCC